This 253-nucleotide ribosomal RNA is filed under the name uncultured bacterium. RNAcentral's name for it is "partial 16S ribosomal RNA". It matches the Rfam family "Bacterial small subunit ribosomal RNA", at positions 524 to 776 of the family's 1533-position model. The record is from RNAcentral.
UACGGAGGGUGCAAGCGUUAUUCGGAUUCACUGGGCUUAAAGGGUGUGUAGGCGGGUAAUUAAGUCCGCCGUGAAAUCUCUGAGCUUAACUCAGAAACUGCCGUGGAUACUAUUUGCCUUGAAUAUUGUGGAGGUGAGCGGAAUAUGUCAUGUAGCGGUGAAAUGCUUAGAUAUGACAUAGAACACCAAUUGCGAAGGCAGCUCACUACACAAUCAUUGACGCUGAGGCACGAAAGCGUGGGGAUCAAACAGG